GGCUGCUCCUGCAGACCAAUCAGGUUGCUGCUUUCUAGGAUCCUACCUGUCUAUUGUUCUAGGAUCCAAGCUCAGUACAUAACAGCUUCCCUUUUAUUCACUGGAUUUAAGGCAGUGGUAUUUUAUUACAGGUAUUUGGAAGAAAACAUUUGCUUGGUGCAAGAAAAAGCCACAGCCUGACAUCCCAUAAUGCUCCCACGAAAGGUUUAAUCUCUCAGCCUGGCAAGGUUUUAGACUGAGCACUAGAUGGCACUAGCAUAUUGGAUUCCUACCCAGCAGCAAAAUCCAUCCUUUCUCCAACACACUGUGUGAUAGAAAACACAAAUCAACAGCAAAAUUGGGGCAGGCGUUUUGAAAAAGAAAAGUGCAUUCAUUUUCAGCUGCAGCUGAUUUAAACUGACUAUAAUAUAAUCCCUCUUGCUUCAUUCUACCAUUUGAUGGCAAGGAAAACAUUCUUUGUAUCUUGGCUAAGGAGAGCUGCAUCUUUUCCGCCUGAGAACCAUCGUUCCCCUACACUGUCUGAAUUCAACAAGUUUCCACUGCCAGUUUCCUCUCAAUGGCGGAGCUGCUUUUCUGAGUGUUUUGCUGUUUGUGAAUAUUGCCUGAGCAGCUAGUCAUUUUGCAAUGCCAUUCAGAAUUGUGUGUUCCCUUAAAGUUUAGACAUCAGAGUGACAGACCUCUGUACAGCAGUACAGCAGGUCUCUGUUGUGAAAAACCUCCAGAUACAAGAAACAACCUCCAGAUACGAGAAACAGCCUCCUCGCUGCAGAUCUCAGAGAGUCUCAACAGCAGGCUAGAGAGCUGGAAGGAUCAGAGCAGCUGGCUAGCCCAACAGAGUGAUGGCAGUGCAAAAGGAAAAACCCAACCCUCUGGGUUUGUAGAGGGGAAACAUGCCACAAGAGGCACCAGCUAACAGAAGCAUCAAGGGACCCAUCUGGCCUGCAGGCAUGAGGCAGACUAAACCAGCAUGGCCGCCACUUGAGAAAGGCUGCUUUCGGCCACCCAGAAGGCUCCUAUAAAAUUCAUCAGAGUGUUAUUUAUAUGGCA
Podarcis raffonei (Aeolian wall lizard) is the source of this 1047-nucleotide long non-coding RNA. RefSeq lists it as uncharacterized. The record is from RefSeq and is a predicted model, not a curated record. NCBI's taxonomy places the organism in Eukaryota, Metazoa, Chordata, Lepidosauria, Squamata, Lacertidae. The transcript is spliced from 3 exons.